Molecule: ribosomal RNA, 640 nt
Filed under: uncultured bacterium
Lineage: Bacteria
Description: bacterial SSU rRNA
Rfam family: Bacterial small subunit ribosomal RNA
Source: RNAcentral
GAGUUUGAUCCUGGCUCAGGAUGAACGCUGGCGGCGUGCUUAACACAUGCAAGUCGAACGAAGCGAUAGGAAGGAAGUUUUCGGAUGGAAUUCAUAUUGACUGAGUGGCGGACGGGUGAGUAACGCGUGGGUAACCUGCCUCAUACAGGGGGAUAACAGUUAGAAAUGACUGCUAAUACCGCAUAAGCGCACAGAAUCGCAUGAUUCGGUGUGAAAAACUCCGGUGGUAUGAGAUGGACCCGCGUCUGAUUAGCUAGUUGGUGGGGUAAAGGCCUACCAAGGCGACGAUCAGUAGCCGACCUGAGAGGGUGAUCGGCCACAUUGGGACUGGGACACGGCCCAAACUCCUACGGGAGGCAGCAGUGGGGAAUAUUGCACAAUGGGGGAAACCCUGAUGCAGCAACGCCGCGUGAGUGAAGAAGUAUUUCGGUAUGUAAAGCUCUAUCAGCAGGGAAGAAGAUGACGGUACCUGAUUAAGAAGCCCCGGCUAACUACGUGCCAGCAGCCGCGGUAAUACGUAGGGGGCAAGCGUUAUCCGGAUUUACUGGGUGUAAAGGGAGCGUAGACGGCAUAGCAAGUCUGAAGUGAAAGCCCAAGGCUCAACCAUGGGACUGCUUUGGAAACUGUUAAGCUAGAGUGC